RNAcentral lists this ribosomal RNA (468 nucleotides) under uncultured bacterium. RNAcentral describes it as "partial 16S ribosomal RNA". It matches the Rfam family "Bacterial small subunit ribosomal RNA", at positions 28 to 507 of the family's 1533-position model. The record is from RNAcentral.
GACGAACGCUGGCGGCGUGCUUAACACAUGCAAGUCGAACGGAAAGGCCCUGCUUUUGUGGGGUGCUCGAGCGGCGAACGGGUGAGUAACACGUGAGUAACCUGCCCUUGACUUUGGGAUAACUUCAGGAAACUGGGGCUAAUACCGGAUAGGAGCUCCUGCUGCAUGGUGGGGGUUGGAAAGUUUCGGCGGUUGGGGAUGGACUCGCGGCUUAUCAGCUUGUUGGUGGGGUAGUGGCUUACCAAGGCUUUGACGGGUAGCCGGCCUGAGAGGGUGAACGGCCACAUUGGGACUGAGAUACGGCCCAGACUCCAACGGGAGGCAGCAGUGGGGAAUAUUGCACAAUGGGCGGAAGCCUGAUGCAGAAACGCCGCGUGCGGGAUGACGGCCUUCGGGUGGGAAACCGCUUUCGCCUGUGACGAAGCGUGAGUGACGGUAAUGGGUAAAGAAGCACCGGCUAACUACGUG